CACAUGCAAGUCGAGCGGUAGCAGAUCUAGCUUUGCUAGAUGCUGACGAGCGGCGGACGGUGAGUAACGCGUAGGAACCUGCCCAGUAGUGGGGGAUAGCCCGGGGAAACUCGGAUUAAUACCGCAUACGCUCUACGGAGGAAAGAGGGGGCUUCGGGCUCUCGCUAUUGGAUGGGCCUGCGUGAGAUUAGCUAGUUGGUGAGGUAAUGGCUCACCAAGGCGACGAUCUCUAGCUGGUCUGAGAGGAUGAUCAGCCACACUGGGACUGAGACACGGCCCAGACUCCUACGGGAGGCAGCAGUGGGGAAUAUUGCACAAUGGGCGCAAGCCUGAUGCAGCCAUGCCGCGUGUGUGAAGAAGGCUUUCGGGUUGUAAAGCACUUUCAGUGGGGAGGAAGGCCUCGUAGUUAAUAGCUGCGAGGAUUGACGUUACCCACAGAAGAAGCACCGGCUAACUCCGUG
This 461-nucleotide ribosomal RNA is filed under the name uncultured bacterium. RNAcentral describes it as "bacterial SSU rRNA". It matches the Rfam family "Bacterial small subunit ribosomal RNA", at positions 52 to 507 of the family's 1533-position model. The record is from RNAcentral.